Molecule: ribosomal RNA, 478 nt
Filed under: uncultured bacterium
Lineage: Bacteria
Description: partial 16S ribosomal RNA
Rfam family: Bacterial small subunit ribosomal RNA
Source: RNAcentral
GAUGAACGCUGGCGGCGUGCCUAACACAUGCAAGUCGAACGGAGUCCAGCCUCUAAGACCUUCGGGUCAAAUAGGGGAAGACUGAGUGGCGGACGGGUGAGUAACACGUGGGCAACCUGGCUCUUAAAGGGGGAUAACAGAGAGAAAGUUCUGCUAAUACCGCAUAAGCACACACUGCCGCAUGGCAGAGGGUGAAAGGAGGAUCGCCAUGAGAUGGACCCGCGUCUGAUUAGCCAGCUGGCAGGGUAAGAGCCUACCAAAGCGACGAUCAGUAGCCGAUAUGAGAGGAUGAACGGCCACAUUGGGACUGAGACACGGCCCAAACUCCUACGCGAGGGAGCAGUGGAGGAUAUUGCACAAUGGGGGGAAACCUGAUGCAGCGACGCCGCGUGAGUGAAGAAGUGUGUCGGUAUGUAAAGCUCUAUCAGCAGGGAAGAUAAUGACGGUACCUGAAUAAGAAGCCCCGGCUAACUACGUG